Molecule: RNA transcript, 1918 nt
Organism: Ananas comosus (pineapple)
Lineage: Eukaryota; Viridiplantae; Streptophyta; Magnoliopsida; Poales; Bromeliaceae
Gene name: sucrose nonfermenting 4-like protein
Exons: 12
Source: RefSeq, a predicted model, not a curated record
CCUCCCUCAUCUCUCUCUCUCUCCUCUCUCUCUCUCUCUCUCUCUCUCUCUUCUCGGCGGAGACUUCGAUAGAUUCGAUGCGAUUGCCCCUCGCUCCGCCCAUCUCUCUCCAAUUUCCCACUCAAUCCCCCUCCAAAUCAACCCCUUGAUGUAGAAAUCUAGGGUUUCGGACGAGUUUCCGCUUCCGAUUUUGAGCUUCCGAGCUCAAAACCCGCCCAAAAACCUCUUGCUCCUCCGGAGAAGUGGAGGCGGGGCGCUUCGAUGGUUUUGACGCGGUUCUCGUGGCCCUACGGGGGGCGGCACGUCGCCAUAUGCGGCUCCUUCACGAGGUGGGUCGAUCAGUAUCAAAUGGCGCUCGUCGAGGGCUCGAUGGGGGAGUACCAGGCGAUUUUCGAUCUCCCCCCUGGGGUUUAUCAGUACCGGUUUCUGGUUGAUGGUAUGUGGAGGUGUGACGAACAGAAGCUUUGUGCUACUAAUGAAUAUGGGAUAUUGAACAAUGUUAUAUUCGUGGAGGAACCUAUGACAUCGGUUAUUCACCAUGAAGCUUUCAGAGGCAUGGAUAUGGAUGAUGGUGUUCUUUUGUCAACAAUGCCUGCAGAGCCACUGCUUCAGACAUCAGAUAUACGCAUAGAGAGUUUUCGUCAUUGGGUGUCUGCAAUGUUGUCCGAAAAAAACAUUUUUGACAUUAUUCCGGUGUCAAGCAAGGUCUCAGUUAUGGAUCUUCAAUUGCCUGUGAAACAAGCAUUCCAUAUAAUGGCAGAAGAAGGCUUCACUGUAGUCCCUCUUUGGGAUGAUAGCAGGGGAAACAUAACUGGGAUGCUUACGCCUUCUGAUUUCAUAUUAAUACUUAGAGAGUUGCAGAACAACAUGCGAGCUCUCGCCAAUGAAGAGCUUGAAAUGCAUUCUAUUUCUUCUUGGAAAGAAGGCAAGCUGCAGCUUUAUGGCCAACCUGAUGCAGCUGUUGGAGUGAAUAGAAGGCCGCUAAUUCAUGUUGGCGACUUGGAGAGUCUAAAAGAUGUGGCUCUAAAGAUUGUACAGAAUGAGAUAUCCUCAGUUCCUAUAUUCAAAUCCUCGCUAGACGACGCAUCAUCCAUGCCAUUAUUAAAUCUCGCAAGCCUCCCUGGGAUCUUGAGAUUCAUCUGCAAGAAUUCUGCGGAACUUAUUCAACUGUUCCCGCUUCUGCAAUUUCAAAUAUCUGCCAUUCCUCUCGGCACAUGGCUGCCAACUACUGGUAGGGGAAGCGGUCGCCCGCUGUCGAUUCUGCGACGGGAUGCCCUUCUAAGUUCUGCACUUAAUUUGCUUCUUGAAGCUAGAGUAAGCUCAAUUCCGAUUGUUGAUGAGAAUGGUUCGUUGCUUGAUGUCUACGCUCGCAGGUGAUAAUGAAAAAAAGUCUAAGAUGCGAUAAGCUGCUUGGACAUAUUGCCAUAUGAAAUCUACCUCCCUCGAUAAUCAUAACCUACUUAUAGACCUGUAGAUUUUUACAAUGUUUGCGCCUUAUUCCUCUUGUCGCAGGGAAAAGUGAAUGAUUCUCUUAUAAAUCGAGUGGUUAUACGCAGCUUUUGAUUUUUGAGUAGGGUAAAGUGCAAAUCGUGAUAGUCAUCAAUGUUUUAAUAAAAACAAAAGGAAAACAUUAUAAAGUUUUUUUUUUCUUUUGGAGUUGGGUAUUCUCUCAAGAGGAAGAUGGAGAUUGAAGCUAGGAUCCAGAUUGUGCCACAACUUGUUAAACUCUAGAACUCCUAAAGCAUUUGUUUAUCUAAUUUUUAUGCAGUGACAUUAUGGCUCUAGCGAAGGACAAUAUUUAUGCUCGAAUUCAGCUUGAACAAAUGACCGUGGAGCAUGCUCUGGAACAGGUGUACCAGGUAAAUGGUCACAGGCGGUGUUACACUUGUUUCCGUUCAACAACUUUCCAUGAGAUUUU